GCGGGCGUGGCGGAAUGGUAGACGCAUGGGACUUAAACUCCCUGGGCCCAACGGCCGUGCGGGUUCAAGUCCCGCCGCCCGCA
RNAcentral lists this transfer RNA (83 nucleotides) under Paracoccus sanguinis. It matches the Rfam family "tRNA". From Rfam's summary of the family: Transfer RNA (tRNA) molecules are approximately 80 nucleotides in length. Their secondary structure includes four short double-helical elements and three loops (D, anti-codon, and T loops). Further hydrogen bonds mediate the characteristic L-shaped molecular structure. tRNAs have two regions of fundamental functional importance: the anti-codon, which is responsible for specific mRNA codon recognition, and the 3' end, to which the tRNAs corresponding amino acid is attached (by aminoacyl-tRNA synthetases). tRNAs cope with the degeneracy of the genetic code in two manners: having more than one tRNA (with a specific anti-codon) for a particular amino acid; and 'wobble' base-pairing, i.e. permitting non-standard base-pairing at the 3rd anti-codon position. The record is from Rfam by way of RNAcentral. Lineage: Bacteria; Pseudomonadati; Pseudomonadota; Alphaproteobacteria; Rhodobacterales; Paracoccaceae.